Molecule: ribosomal RNA, 700 nt
Filed under: uncultured bacterium
Lineage: Bacteria
Description: bacterial SSU rRNA
Rfam family: Bacterial small subunit ribosomal RNA
Source: RNAcentral
UGCAAGUCGAGCGGCAGCGCGGGAGCAAUCCUGGCGGCGAGCGGCGAACGGGUGAGUAAUGCUUCGGAAUCUGCCCGGUAGUGGGGAACAACCAGUCGAAAGACUGGCUAAUACCGCAUACGACCUAAGGGUGAAAGCAGGGGACCGCAAGGCCUUGCGCUAUCGGAUGAGCCGAAGUCGGAUUAGCUAGUUGGCGGGGUAACGGCCCACCAAGGCGACGAUCCGUAGCUGGUCUGAGAGGACGACCAGCCACACUGGGACUGAGACACGGCCCAGACUCCUACGGGAGGCAGCAGUGGGGAAUAUUGGACAAUGGGGGCAACCCUGAUCCAGCGACGCCGCGUGUGUGAAGAAGGCCUGCGGGUUGUAAAGCACUUUUAGUGGGGAGGAAAACACCUGUCCUAAUACGGCAGGGAUUGACUUAACCCAAAGAAAAAGCACCGGCUAACUCUGUGCCAGCAGCCGCGGUAAUACAGAGGGUGCAAGCGUUAAUCGGAAUUACUGGGCGUAAAGCGUGCGUAGACGGUUGUUUAAGUCGGAUGUGAAAUCCCCGGGCUCAACCUGGGAAUUGCAUUCGAGACUGAUCAGCUAGGGUGCGGAAGAGGGAAGCGGAAUUUCCGGUGUAGCGGUGAAAUGCGUAGAUAUCGGAAGGAACAUCAGUGGCGAAAGCGGCUUCCUGGUCCAGCACCGACGUUCACGC